RNAcentral lists this ribosomal RNA (390 nucleotides) under uncultured Scuticociliatia. Its description in RNAcentral is "partial small subunit ribosomal RNA". It matches the Rfam family "Eukaryotic small subunit ribosomal RNA", at positions 30 to 432 of the family's 1831-position model. Lineage: Eukaryota; Ciliophora; Oligohymenophorea. The record is from RNAcentral.
GCUUGUCUCAAAGAUUAAGCCAUGCAUGUCUAAGUAUAAGCCUUUACACGGUGAGACUGCGAAUGGCUCAUUAAAUCAGAAACUGUUUAUUUGAUAGUGCCUACUACUUGGAUAACCGUAGUAAUUCUAGAGCUAAUACAUGCUAUCAAGCCCGACUUCUUGAAGGGUUGUAUUUAUUAGACUUAAGCCAAUAUUCCUUGUGUCUAUUGCGAUGAUUCAUAAUAACUGAUCGAAUCUCAAAUUUGAGAUAAAUCAUUCAAGUUUCUGCCCUAUCAGCUUUCGAUGGUAGUGUAUUGGACUACCAUGGCAGUAACGGGUAACGAAGAAUUAGGGUUCGAUUUCGGAGAGGGAGCAUGAGAAACGGCUACCACAUCUAAGGAAGGCAGCAGG